Molecule: ribosomal RNA, 2902 nt
Filed under: Klebsiella pneumoniae
Lineage: Bacteria; Pseudomonadati; Pseudomonadota; Gammaproteobacteria; Enterobacterales; Enterobacteriaceae
Description: 23S ribosomal RNA
Rfam family: Bacterial large subunit ribosomal RNA
Source: RNAcentral
GGUUAAGCGACUAAGCGUACACGGUGGAUGCCCUGGCAGUCAGAGGCGAUGAAGGACGUGCUAAUCUGCGAAAAGCGUCGGUAAGGUGAUAUGAACCGUUAUAGCCGGCGAUGUCCGAAUGGGGAAACCCAGUGCAAUUCGUUGCACUAUCGUUAACUGAAUACAUAGGUUAACGAGGCGAACCGGGGGAACUGAAACAUCUAAGUACCCCGAGGAAAAGAAAUCAACCGAGAUUCCCCCAGUAGCGGCGAGCGAACGGGGAGCAGCCCAGAGUCUGAAUCAGCUUGUGUGUUAGUGGAACGGUCUGGAAAGUCCGACGGUACAGGGUGAUAGUCCCGUACACCAAAAUGCACAGGUUGUGAACUCGAAGAGUAGGGCGGGACACGUGGUAUCCUGUCUGAAUAUGGGGGGGACCAUCCUCCAAGGCUAAAUACUCCUGACUGACCGAUAGUGAACCAGUACCGUGAGGGAAAGGCGAAAAGAACCCCGGCGAGGGGAGUGAAAAAGAACCUGAAACCGUGUACGUACAAGCAGUGGGAGCACCUUCGGGUGUGACUGCGUACCUUUUGUAUAAUGGGUCAGCGACUUAUAUUCUGUAGCAAGGUUAACCGUAUAGGGGAGCCGCAGGGAAACCGAGUCUUAACUGGGCGUUAAGUUGCAGGGUAUAGACCCGAAACCCGGUGAUCUAGCCAUGGGCAGGUUGAAGGUUGGGUAACACUAACUGGAGGACCGAACCGACUAAUGUUGAAAAAUUAGCGGAUGACUUGUGGCUGGGGGUGAAAGGCCAAUCAAACCGGGAGAUAGCUGGUUCUCCCCGAAAGCUAUUUAGGUAGCGCCUCGUGAACUCAUCUUCGGGGGUAGAGCACUGUUUCGGCUAGGGGGUCAUCCCGACUUACCAACCCGAUGCAAACUACGAAUACCGAAGAAUGUUAUCACGGGAGACACACGGCGGGUGCUAACGUCCGUCGUGAAGAGGGAAACAACCCAGACCGCCAGCUAAGGUCCCAAAGUCAUGGUUAAGUGGGAAACGAUGUGGGAAGGCACAGACAGCCAGGAUGUUGGCUUAGAAGCAGCCAUCAUUUAAAGAAAGCGUAAUAGCUCACUGGUCGAGUCGGCCUGCGCGGAAGAUGUAACGGGGCUAAACCAUGCACCGAAGCUGCGGCAGCGACACUAUGUGUUGUUGGGUAGGGGAGCGUUCUGUAAGCCUGCGAAGGUGACCUGUGAGGGUUGCUGGAGGUAUCAGAAGUGCGAAUGCUGACAUAAGUAACGAUAAAGCGGGUGAAAAGCCCGCUCGCCGGAAGACCAAGGGUUCCUGUCCAACGUUAAUCGGGGCAGGGUGAGUCGACCCCUAAGGCGAGGCCGAAAGGCGUAGUCGAUGGGAAACAGGUUAAUAUUCCUGUACUUGGUGUUACUGCGAAGGGGGACGGAGAAGGCUAUGUUAGCCGGGCGACGGUUGUCCCGGUUUAAGCAUGUAGGCUGGUUGUCCAGGCAAAUCCGGAUAAUCAAGGCUGAGGUGUGAUGACGAGGUACUACGGUGCUGAAGUAACAAAUGCCCUGCUUCCAGGAAAAGCCUCUAAGCAUCAGGUAACAUCAAAUCGUACCCCAAACCGACACAGGUGGUCAGGUAGAGAAUACCAAGGCGCUUGAGAGAACUCGGGUGAAGGAACUAGGCAAAAUGGUGCCGUAACUUCGGGAGAAGGCACGCUGGUGUGUAGGUGAAGUCCCUGCGGAUGGAGCUGAGACCAGUCGAAGAUACCAGCUGGCUGCAACUGUUUAUUAAAAACACAGCACUGUGCAAACACGAAAGUGGACGUAUACGGUGUGACGCCUGCCCGGUGCCGGAAGGUUAAUUGAUGGGGUUAUCCGUAAGGAGAAGCUCUUGAUCGAAGCCCCGGUAAACGGCGGCCGUAACUAUAACGGUCCUAAGGUAGCGAAAUUCCUUGUCGGGUAAGUUCCGACCUGCACGAAUGGCGUAAUGAUGGCCAGGCUGUCUCCACCCGAGACUCAGUGAAAUUGAACUCGCUGUGAAGAUGCAGUGUACCCGCGGCAAGACGGAAAGACCCCGUGAACCUUUACUAUAGCUUGACACUGAACAUUGAGCCUUGAUGUGUAGGAUAGGUGGGAGGCUUUGAAGCGUGGACGCCAGUCUGCGUGGAGCCAACCUUGAAAUACCACCCUUUAAUGUUUGAUGUUCUAACGUUGGCCCCUGACCGGGGUUGCGGACAGUGUCUGGUGGGUAGUUUGACUGGGGCGGUCUCCUCCCAAAGCGUAACGGAGGAGCACGAAGGUUAGCUAAUCCUGGUCGGACAUCAGGAGGUUAGUGCAAUGGCAUAAGCUAGCUUGACUGCGAGCGUGACGGCGCGAGCAGGUGCGAAAGCAGGUCAUAGUGAUCCGGUGGUUCUGAAUGGAAGGGCCAUCGCUCAACGGAUAAAAGGUACUCCGGGGAUAACAGGCUGAUACCGCCCAAGAGUUCAUAUCGACGGCGGUGUUUGGCACCUCGAUGUCGGCUCAUCACAUCCUGGGGCUGAAGUAGGUCCCAAGGGUAUGGCUGUUCGCCAUUUAAAGUGGUACGCGAGCUGGGUUUAGAACGUCGUGAGACAGUUCGGUCCCUAUCUGCCGUGGGCGCUGGAGAAUUGAGGGGGGCUGCUCCUAGUACGAGAGGACCGGAGUGGACGCAUCACUGGUGUUCGGGUUGUCAUGCCAAUGGCACUGCCCGGUAGCUAAAUGCGGAAGAGAUAAGUGCUGAAAGCAUCUAAGCACGAAACUUGCCCCGAGAUGAGUUCUCCCUGAGACUUUAAGUCUCCUGAAGGAACGUUGAAGACGACGACGUUGAUAGGCCGGGUGUGUAAGCGCAGCGAUGCGUUGAGCUAACCGGUACUAAUGAACCGUGAGGCUUAACCUU